CGCCUCUUUAUCAAAAACAUCGCCUCCUGCAAAAUUCAAAGUAUAGGAGGUCCAGCCUGCCCAGUGACCACAAGUUCGACGGCCGACGGUAUUUUGACCGUGCAAAGGUAGCGCAAUCACUUGUCUUUUAAAUGAAGACCUGUAUGAAUGGCUAAACGAGGGCUUAACUGUCUCCCCUUCCAAGUCAGUGAAAUUGAUCUGCCCGUGCAGAAGCGGACAUAAAAAUACAAGACGAGAAGACCCUUUGGAGCUUAAGGUUCAAGCCCAGCCGCGUCAAACAACUUUCUUAAUAAGAAUUAAACCUUAGCGGAUGAUGGAGCUUUACCUUCGGUUGGGGCGACCACGGAGAAAAAUGUAUCCUCCGAGUGGAUUGGGUAAUAAACCUAAAACCAAGAAAGACAUUUCUAAGACACAGAAAAUCUGACCAAUAAUGAUCCGGCCAAUAGACCGAUCAACGGACCAAGUUACCCUAGGGAUAACAGCGCAAUCCUCUCCCAGAGUCCAUAUCGACGAGGGGGUUUACGACCUCGAUGUUGGAUCAGGACAUCCUAAUGGUGCAGCCGCUAUUAAGGGUUCGUUUGUUCAACGAUUAAAGUCCUACGUGAUCUGAGUUCAGACCGG
This 621-nucleotide ribosomal RNA is filed under the name Misgurnus anguillicaudatus (oriental weatherfish). RNAcentral's name for it is "partial 16S ribosomal RNA". It matches the Rfam family "Bacterial large subunit ribosomal RNA", at positions 1797 to 2619 of the family's 2925-position model. The record is from RNAcentral. Lineage: Eukaryota; Metazoa; Chordata; Actinopteri; Cypriniformes; Cobitidae.